This 433-nucleotide ribosomal RNA is filed under the name uncultured bacterium. RNAcentral's name for it is "partial 16S ribosomal RNA". It matches the Rfam family "Bacterial small subunit ribosomal RNA", at positions 29 to 507 of the family's 1533-position model. The record is from RNAcentral.
AACGAACGCUGGCGGCAUGCCUAACACAUGCAAGUCGAACGAGACCUUCGGGUCUAGUGGCGCACGUGUGGGUAACGCGUGGUAACCUGCCCUUAGGUUCGGAAUAACUCCCCGAAAGGGGUGCUAAUACCGGAUAAUGUCUUCGGACCAAAGAUUUAUCGCCUUUGGAUGGGCCCGCGUUGGAUUCGCUAGUUGGUAGGGUAAAAGCCUACCAAGGCGACGAUCCAUAGCUGGUAUGAGAGGAUGAUAAGCCACAAUGGGACUGAGACACGGCCCAGACUCCUACGGGAGGCAGCAGUGGGGAAUAUUGGACAAUGGGCGAAAGCCUGAUCCAGCAAUGCCGCGUGAGUGAUGAAGGCCUUAGGGUUGUAAAGCUCUUUUACACGGGAUGAUAAUGACAGUACCGGGAGAAUAAGCUCCGGCUAACUCCGUG